This 500-nucleotide ribosomal RNA is filed under the name uncultured bacterium. RNAcentral describes it as "partial 16S ribosomal RNA". It matches the Rfam family "Bacterial small subunit ribosomal RNA", at positions 30 to 523 of the family's 1533-position model. The record is from RNAcentral.
AUUGAACGCUGGCGGAAUGCUUUAUACAUGCAAGUCGAACGGCAGCACGGACUUCGGUCUGGUGGCGAGUGGCGAACGGGUGAGUAAUGUAUCGGAACGUGCUCAGUCGUGGGGGAUAACGUAGUGAAAAUUACGCUAAUACCGCAUACGAUCUAUGGAUGAAAGCGGGGGAUCGCAAGACCUGCCGCGAUUGGAGCGGCCGAUAUCAGAUUAGUUAGUUGGUGGGGUAAAGGCCCACCAAGCCAACGAUCUGUAGCUGGUCUGAGAGGACGACCAGCCACACCGGAACUGAGACCCGGUCCAGACUCCUACGGGAGGCAGCAGUGGGGAAUUUUGGACAAUGGGCGAAAGCCUAAUCCAGCCAUUCCGCGUUCAGGAUGAAGGCCCUCGGGUUGUAAACUGCUUUUGUACAGAACGAAAAGGUUUCUACUAAUACUAGGAGCUCAUGACGGUACUGUAAGAAUAAGCACCGGCUAACUACGUGCCAGCCGCCGCCGUAA